GCCACCACGCCCGGCUAAUUUUUUUUGUAUUUUUAGUAGAGGCGGGGUUUCACCAUGUUAGCCAGGAUGGUCUCGAUCUCCUGACCUCGUGAUCCGCCCGCCUCGGCCUCCCAAAGUGCUGGGAUUACAAGCGUGAGCCACCGCGCCCGGCGAGACUGCCCUUUAUUCUCAGUAACAGGUGGAGCUGGGGGCUGGAAAGCCCCUCUGACCUCGCCUUUGGAAAGGUGGGUGUGCGCACGGAGCCUGGCAGGUGGCCAAGGGGACCCCCAAGUGGAGGGAUUGGUCGAGGGGCAGCACAGGGUGGUGCAGUGGGUGAGCCCAGCCCCUCCCCUCCCACUCUCAUCCCAUUGAGCCCCAGGGUGUGGGGGGAUCACAUCUGUGUCCUUGUUCUCCUCCAAGUGGAGCUGCUGGGUGGGGCUCUGGUCCUCCAGGGACCCACUGUGCACCCUAAGUUUUGCCGGGACCCGCUCCUCUGUGUUGUGUGGCUGUAGGGGAGGGCUGCAGCCAGGGACUCUGAACCUGGGGCCGACCCACCCAGCCACCCAGGCUGGGGAACAAGAUCGCCUCCCAGGGCCAGAAGUUGGGGAAGUCCUCGCUUCCUAGGAUGUUGGCUAGGGGAUCACACGCCCCACAUUGUGGGUCAAGCAUGGUCCUGUCCCAGCGUCUUGCUGGAUUGGGGGCAUCUCUGCACAGAUGAGUGCCACCCCAGCAUCUCUGCCAGGGUCUGGGCAUGUCACCCGUGGGCAUCUGUGCUCAGGAGGUCACCAGGUGUGGGCAGGGCACCAAGUGGGGAGGUAGCUGAGGCUGGAAGACGCACAUCCGUGCCCCGUGGGCUUCCUCAAGUGGGAACUGGUGGAGGGCGCUGGGCUUCCUCAAGUGGGAACUGGUGGAGGGCGCUGGGCUUCCUCAAGUGGGAACUGGUGGAGGGCGCUGGGCUGCUGGGUCAGGGUCAGCAGGCUCAGGCGGGCUCAGGGCUCAGAGUCGAGCCAGAAACCAAGGUGAAAUCUGCCUGUUGCUGCCGCCAGGGCCCUGGGACAGGGACAGGAACAGCAGAAGGUAAAGUGGAAAGGAAGUGAGUCAUGGGCCCCCAGGCAAGGCUGAGCCAGGCCCCAAGCCCAGGAUUGGGGUCUCCAGAAUCCCUGGGGACCCCAGGGCAGCUCACCCACAGCCUGGGGCCUAUGGGAGCAAGGGGGCUCCUGAUGGCUGGGGGCAGGAGCUUUGACAAAGUUGAAGGCCGUCUGUCUGAAUUGGCCAGGGGCCAAUGAAAGCCAAAAAGCUGGCGUGGUGGCUCAUGCCUGUAAUCCCACUUUGGGAGGCCAAGGCGGGUGGAUCACCUGAGGUCAGGAGUUCGAGACCAGCCUGGUCAACAUGGUGAAAUCCCGUCUCCACUAAAAAUAGCUGGGCGUGGUGGCGGUCACCUGUAAUCCCAGCCACUCGGGGGGCUGAGGCAGGAGAAUCACUUGAACCUGGGAGAUGGAGGUUGCAGAGAGCCAAGAUCGUAUCACUGCACUCCAGCCUGGGUGACAGAGCGAGAAUCUGUCUCAAAAGAAAAAAAAAAAAAAAAAUCCAAAAAGGCGAGUGGGGAGCAGGUGCUAGGCUGCAUGGGGGCCUACGCCUCAACCAGAGGACCCCAGCCCCCUGCCAACCCCUCCCCAGCUCAGGCCCACCGGCUUCCCUCUCACACAGCUGCUCUGGGAGGGAGGCCCUCCUUGCCAAUACCUGAGAGAAUGGGCAGCAGGGACCCUGGGGACAGGAUGGGGACCCCCAGGACAACAAGAAGAUGGGCUACACUAGGAGGCUGCUCUUGGGCCCCUGCGUCAGGCCAGCAGGACAGGCACCCAUCACACCACGGUCCACACACAGGCUCCUAUCACACCCUGCCCCGUCACAGCAGUGCCCAGAGGGACAUGGAGGCUCCCAGCUGAGGGCCAGCCCAAGUAGUCACAGGUGAGCAGUGAGAGGUGAGAGGCAAGGGGGCUUCCUGGUCUGGGUGGGCUCUGGCCCCCAAAACAUGUUGCUUAGGUCAAGCCAGUCUCCCCCAGCAGGGGUGAACAAUUUUCCCCCAGCCUGCCUGGCCCACCCUUUCUCCAGGGACGGUGCCCAGUGGGCCUCAUCUUCCCCAUGCCAGGUGUGAUGGUUAAUACUGUCAACUUGAUCGGAUUGAAGGAUACAAAGUAUUGAUCCUGGGUGUGUCUGUGAGGGUGUUGCCAAAAGAGAUUAACACAAGAGUCAGUGGGCUGCGGAAGGCAGACCCACCCUUCAUCUGGUGGGCACCAUCUAAUCAGCUGCCAGUGAAUAUAAAGCAGAAAAACGUGAAAAGGAGACUACGGGCCUCGCCUCCCAGCCUACAUCUUUCUCCCAUGCUGGACGCUUCCUGCCCUCGAACAUCGGACUCCAAGUUCAGCUUUGAGACUCGGGCUGGCUCUCCUUGCUCCUCAGCUUGCAGACGGCCUAUUGUGGGACCUUGUGAUCGUGUGAGUUAAUACUUAAUAAAUUCCCCUUCAUAUAUA
Long non-coding RNA from Symphalangus syndactylus (siamang), 2510 nucleotides. RefSeq lists it as uncharacterized. The record is from RefSeq and is a predicted model, not a curated record. Lineage: Eukaryota; Metazoa; Chordata; Mammalia; Primates; Hylobatidae.